CGCGUCUGAUUAGCUGGUUGGCGGGGCAGCGGCCACCAAGGCGACGAUCAGUAGCCGGCCUGAGAGGGCGGACGGCCACAUUGGGACUGAGACACGGCCCAGACUCCUGCGGGAGGCAGCAGUGGGGAAUAUUGCACAAUGGGGGAAACCCUGAUGCAGCGACGCCGCGUGAGUGAAGAAGUCAUUCGUGACGUAAAGCUCUUUCGGCAGGGAAGAAAACGACGGUACCUGACGAAGAAGCCCCGGCUAACUAC
RNAcentral lists this ribosomal RNA (254 nucleotides) under uncultured bacterium. RNAcentral's name for it is "partial 16S ribosomal RNA". It matches the Rfam family "Bacterial small subunit ribosomal RNA", at positions 232 to 504 of the family's 1533-position model. The record is from RNAcentral.